GUCGAGCGAGGUUAUUGUUUUGGAUCCCUUCGGGGUGAAGAAGCUUUAACCUAGCGGCGGACGGGUGAGUAACGCGUGGGUAACCUACCCCAAAGUCCGGGAUAACAGCGGGAAACCGCUGCUAAUACCGGAUGUCUUUACCUUGGGGCAUCUUGAGGUAAAGAAAGGUAACGCUUUGGGAUGGGCCCGCGUCCCAUUAGCUAGUUGGUGAGGUAACGGCUCACCAAGGCGACGAUGGGUAGCCGGCCUGAGAGGGUGGACGGCCACACUGGGACUGAGACACGGCCCAGACUCCUACGGGAGGCAGCAGUAGGGAAUAUUGCGCAAUGGACGGAAGUCUGACGCAGCGACGCCGCGUGAGCGAUGAAGGUCUUCGGAUCGUAAAGCUCUGUCCUUGGGGAAGAAGGCGAAAGCUUGACGGUACCCAAGAAGAAAGCCCCGGCUAACUACGUGCCAGCAGCCGCGGUAAUACGUAGGGGGCGAGCGUUGUCCGGAAUUACUGGGCGUAAAGGGUGCGUAGGCGGCCCUUUAAGUCGGAUGUGAAAGCCCGCGGCUUAACCGCGGAAUGGCAUUCGAAACUGGAGGGCUUGAGUGUCGGAGAGGGUAGUGGAAUUCCCAGUGUAGCGGUGAAAUGCGUA
Molecule: ribosomal RNA, 638 nt
Filed under: uncultured bacterium
Lineage: Bacteria
Description: bacterial SSU rRNA
Rfam family: Bacterial small subunit ribosomal RNA
Source: RNAcentral